GAUGAAGAACGUAGCGAAAUGCGAUAAGUAGAGUGAAUUGCAGAAUUCAGUGAAUCAUCGAAUCUUUGAACGCACAUUGCGCCCCUUGGUAUUCCAUGGGGCAUGCCUGUUCGAGCGUCAUUUACACCCUCAAGCUCUGCUUGGUGUUGGGCGUCUGUCCCGCUGCUUUGCGCGGACUCGCCUCAAAGGUAUUGGCAGCGAUCAUGCCAGCUUCUCGCGCAGCACAUUGCGCUUCUUGAAGUUCUGGUGGAACAGCGUCCAUUAAGCUUACCUUCAUGACUUGACCUCGGAUCAGGUAGGGAUACCCGCUGAACUUAAGCAUAUCAAUAAGCGGAGGA
This 338-nucleotide unclassified non-coding RNA is filed under the name soil metagenome. Its description in RNAcentral is "partial contains 5.8S ribosomal RNA, internal transcribed spacer 2, and large subunit ribosomal RNA". The stretch from base 1 to 120 matches the Rfam family "5.8S ribosomal RNA", at positions 35 to 154 of the family's 154-position model. The record is from RNAcentral.